Molecule: long non-coding RNA, 4881 nt
Filed under: Homo sapiens (human)
Lineage: Eukaryota; Metazoa; Chordata; Mammalia; Primates; Hominidae
Description: HSALNT0298141
Source: RNAcentral
CGACCGCUUGGGUCCUCCGCGGGGCAGCCUCGGGGAGGGUGGCUGCAGGGCCCGGAGUCGCCUGGAUCGCAGCGCCAUCUCGUGGCUGCUGGCAGGUCUGCCUUGGGCCCUCUUGGCACAAGGCAAGGAAACAGGAGCUCUUCCCAUCAGUGACAGGUGCCCGCCGGCCCGCACCCAGGAGAAUGCUCCAGUGUCACCAGUGACUCCUGCUCCCACAUCUGCCUACAGGAAGCCCUCUUGGAACAAAAGCAUCUCACUUCUGGGAGGCAUCAAGUCAAGGGAGAAGCAGUGAUGUUUUAGUAUCCAGAAAGUGGAAAUAACCCAAAUGCCCAUCAACAGCAGAAUGAAAUUGUACUAUAUUCACACCAUGGAAUAUUGUAUAGCAAAGAGAAUGAAUGAACUAUUAACAGAAAAGACAUGGACAAAUCUCAUAAACAUGAUGCUGAAAGAAACCACAGUCAAAAAAGAAGAUGCUUCCCAACCUUUUGCAGACCAUGGCAUACGCAGAAAAUGACAACAUCGGAAUGGCACACUGGCAUACCAGUUGGGGAUCCUUGCAGUCAAUGCUGACUGGACUCAUCCUUCAGCCGCCCCCAAGAAGAGAGAGAUCAAUACCUUGGCACAUCUGUGGGAAAGCUCCCAUUAGAGAGUGUGGGGAAGACACAGGCCUCCACAACACAUUUCAGGUUCUCUAAACUGGCAAAGGGGAAGAGUCUGGGCUUCCUUUGCCCUUUUGUUCUCAAAGAGCCCAGCUGUGCACACCCCUCACCCCUGCACUAUAGCUCCCAUUUGGGUAGUGAAAAAUCACAGGACUCAGGGGAGUUAUGCAGCAUUCGGGAAUGGAGACCUGGAAAGCCACACACUCCUCCUUGCUUUCCUGUGAGCCUCUCUUCUUGCUGUCCCCUUUACAACCAACAGUCCCUGCAGGGGGAAGACACUCUGCUUUAGUCAGUUCCACCUCCCUUCCAGAUCUCAUCCUCCUUUCAGCCUAAUUUUCCUCACACUGUCAUGCUCCUUCCCACUGCUCGCCCCCCACCCCCUACUCUCCUCCAGCACAUCACACAUUGCGCCUGGGCACACUGAGCUUGUCUGCCAUCUAUGAAGAGGCCCAUGUCACCCAAGCCCUUCUCUUUCCCUGUCAUGCCAUAGCCUCUUCCAGGAGCGCUCAGCCUGCUGUUUCUGCUCAGACCUCCCCUCCUCUGCAAAGCCUCCUUCUGCGUGCUGCCCGAGAGCCAUCCCCCACUUGGGUUUGUGUUACUGCUGUGUAUGGCAGCAUCUUCACUGUGCCUGAUUUCCCGUCUUGGCCCAUCGUAGGUGCUCAACAAUUGUUUCUCAAAUGACCAGCGCCUGCAGAGGGACCCUGACAUGAACUCCACCCCACCCCGACUCUUGGCAGUUACUCACUGUCCCCUUGAGUCGGGAUCCCAGCCCCUCAGGGGACCUGUCUUGCAGCCAUUCCACGCUCUGUCACCCCACUGCCAGGAGACUAGAGCCACACUGCCUGGAUGACGCUCAUCUUUACCAGCUCGCAGCUCUGCCAGCUGCCUGCUCAGGGGUGGCCGCCAGCUGAGGGAUUGAGCUGAUUAUAGGUGAAUCAGCACCAGGCUGAUUGUGGUGUGAAAAAGGGGAAGGGUGACUGUGUCUUAGCCUCAAUCCUGGCUCCCCUCCUUCCAGCCCUGACCUGCAGUAACAGCACAGGGCCACCAGAGGCUCUAUUGGGCGACUCAUGCCCCGCGGAGAAAGGCCCAGUAGGAGAGCAUCUGACCCAGUUCCCAGCAGAUGAGAAAGGAAGAAGAGUUCAGGAGGCUUCUACUCUCAGAGGUCUCCAGCACUGAAACCCCGCAGCCGCACCUGGCUGCCUUAUCCUUGUGUUUUGCCCCUCAUGGGUCUAGAAGCUGUUGUGUUACACCUUAACAUCUUCCUCCUUGCUUGCCAUGAGCCCCUCUGCUUGCAGCCCCCUUUACAGAACAACAGUCAUGGUAGAGGGAAGAUGUCUCCACUUUUGUCAGUUCUGCCUCCUUUAGGAGAGUGUCAGGCCUAACCCAUGUGUGCUCUGUCUUUCAGGGCAUGGAAAAGACUAUUGUCCUGUUUCGUCUUUUCAACACCUCUUGACUCUCUCCCCCUGGUUUCCUAACAGCCAGCUAGGUUCAGGGCCUCCCAUCUCUGGCCAGGAUUAGUGCAAUGGCUUUCUGAAGGGUCCCAGGCUCCAGGGAGCCCCUUGCCCAUCAAGUCUCUACCCUGGAGCCAGACAGCCCUUACUUCCAUCAGACAUCAGCCUCCAGUGGCUCCGAAAGGCCAGGCAUCCACACAGCACCCCACGGCCCCAAGAACUGGCUGCUUGAUUUUCCUGCCCUGUGUCCCUCCUCUCCUUGGCCCUCUACCCAGCAAUCACCCCAAAACACUGUGAUGUUUCAAGCCUUUGUACUUUGCACACAUUCUUCUCCAUGGCCUAAUUCCCUCUCUCCACCCCUCACUCCACACCUCCUCCACCUUUACCCUUUCUCCCCAUUCUUUCUUCACCGGGCACAGCCCUACUUAUCCUUCAAAACUGCCACUUCCUCUGCGAAGCCUUUCCUGACCCGUGUCCCAGAAUCCCUCCUCUGAACAAAUCCUGUUCCCUAAACAUGCAUCUCUCAUUGUAUCUGUCACUCAAGGGUUGCAAUAAUUACACACACGCCUGUCCUUUGUCCUCCACUGGCUCUGUACCUCCAUGUGGGACCCAUGGCCAGCACACAUUGGUGGUGCCCGAAAGCUGUUGCACUGGAGUUGUUCCUUCUGCCCCAUCACCUCCCACCUUGAACAAGUCCUUUAGAUGACCUGAACUCCAGUUUGUUGAUCUGCAAAAUGGAGAGAUGUGAGAAUCAGAAGAGAACACGUAAUGAAAGGGUGUUAUAAACUGCUAAGGGCUGUACAAAUGUUUGUAUUGCAUUUUUGUCUUCCAGACUAGUGUUUACCUACACUUGCCUGUGUGGAAAUCAGAAGAUUAAAGGAAUGCGAUGUGAUCUUUUUGUAAUUUCCCCACUUGGGUCAAGGGAAAAGCUGGUCAAGAGUAAACCAUUAAUUCAUCCCCCUGCAGGCCCCCCAAUCUUCCCUAGAAUUCUGGGUUAAUGAUUCUGAGGUUGUUUUCCUCACAGAGCCAAUUCAUAUCUAAUCUUUGGCAUGUUCCCCCCUUUAUUAAGAAUAACUUGACUCACCCCAUUAAUUCCUCAUCCUGGGGUCACGAGCCUUGUUUUGCAGAAGGAAAUGGUGGCUGUGUGUAUGUCUUGGGCCUUCUUUCUUUCUCAAACCCCUUUCUUUCAUGGAUUCAUGCCUACAAUUCCCUCUGUGGACAGAAGAGACCUCUCCUUACCUGCAUAAUGAAAUGUGUGACUUUUCUCAAAAGUAGCUUUAGGAAUUAACUGUGGAGGUCCAAGUAGCAAGGAUGCUGUGACCUAACUCGUUACCCCCUCACGUGUGGUUUGGAAUCCCAGCAGAAAAAAUUUCCUGAAGAUCUGGUACGGAGAAACCAUUCUGGGCCUGGCUUUUAAAUGUUUUAUUAGCAGCUGGGCGAGGACUGGGCUGCAAAGAGAUGCAGCCCCCGUCAGAAGCGAUCCCUGUUGGGGAGCAAGGCCUGGAAUUCCAGGAGGGAGGUCUGUUUAUAGCUGAGGCAGAGGCUGGGGAGCGAAGCCUGGGAGCCAGACAUGGCUUAAGGGUGGUCUGGACACUCUUGAGAUAAGGCCAACUAAGGACUAUGAGCUCAUUGAAGUUCCAAAGCCAACUCACAGCAGCUCACCACCAGACAUGUCCCCUGCCCCCACAUUCCCUCCUCUCAAUCCAGGAAUUUUGGUGCUCAUCUCUAUAAAGUUUUAGACCAUGGUGGUAGGAACCUGGUAAGUCUCAGGUUCUUGCAUUGCCCGAUUCUCCUUGGAUUUGCUGGGUUUGCCUCCUUCCCAUGUCUCAGACAGGGCUUUGCAUAAAGAAGUGGGCUGGUAGAUCUGCAAAGGUCCCUCUGUGUGACUGGAGCAAGUUACCCUCUUGAGCCUCAGUGUCCUCUUCUGUAAAAUAGGGAUAUCAUUCUUUCUUUCCCAAGGCUUUUGGUAAUAAUGUCAUUCUCAUGUGAUUCUUAACAAAAUGGGCCUUUCAGACUUAGAUCACUUUUGUGCAUGCAUAAAAAUGAAAGCAUUGAGGAGAAGGAAUUGGUGAAUAUAUGUCUGGAGCAAUAACUUCAUCAGAACUGCCACGGUGGUUGUAGGACCAUUCUGAUUCCAGAGGUAUUAAAAUGCAAAACACAAUGUUGAAAUGCAAAACCCAACAAAAUAAUAAACAGCCUUGUACCUACCGCCUCCCUUAAGAACUAAAACAAUUCCCAACACCACUGAAAGACUGUGUUCACCUCCUUGAUCCAAUCUCUUGCCUUUCCACCCCAGAGAAAACCACUGUCCUGAAUUUUUUCCCACUCCCUUGGUUUUGUUUUACCAAACAUGUAUCCAAUAUGUAACAUAUUAUUUGUAUUUGAUCUUGUUUUUGAAUUGUCCUGUAGGUAGAAUUAUAUCUUAUUCUGCAAUUUGCUUUUUAAAGUUUUUGAAAGAGCAAAACUUAUCUAUGCUAAUACGCUAAUGUGUGUAGCUGCCAUUUAUUUGUCACUGCAUAUACCCCUCUCAAUUCUGUUGAUGGAAAUUUAGGCAGUUUCCAGUAUUAUUUUGCUACAAACAUUCUCAUGGCUGUCUCCUGCAACAUGUGUGUUUCUUGGGAGUAUACUUAGGGGUGGAAUUGCUAAGUCUAGACAAUGCUCCUCCCUGUUCUGGUUGCCAACACAUGCUGCUGCUCCCUUACUCCCUCCUAUGAAUAGUGCAAGGGGGUGAGAGUUCUGUUCUUGCUUCGUCUUUGGAUUUUCCAGGGUUG